GUUGUAUGGUUAAGUGACUAAGCGUACACGGUGGAUGCCUUGGCAGUCAGAGGCGAUGAAAGACGUAGUAACUUGCGAUAAGCCCAGAUUAGGUAGUAACAACCAUUUGAGUCUGGGAUUUCUGAAUGGGGAAACCCACGUGCAUAAGCACGUAUCCUUACCUGAAUACAUAGGGUAAGGAGGCGAACCGGGGGAACUGAAACAUCUAAGUACCCCGAGGAAAAGAAAUCAACCGAGAUUCCGAAAGUAGCGGCGAGCGAAAUUGGACUAGCCCUUAAGCUUUACACGCGUUAGACGAACGGUCUGGAAAGUCCGACGAUACAGGGUGAUAGUCCCGUAGUUGACGACGUGUGUUCAGUGAAAUCGAGUAGGGCGGGACACGUGAUAUCCUGUCUGAAUAUGGGGGGACCAUCCUCCAAGGCUAAAUACUACUGACUGACCGAUAGUGAACCAGUACCGUGAGGGAAAGGCGAAAAGAACCCCUGUGAGGGGAGUGAAAUAGAACCUGAAACCGUGUACGUACAAGCAGUAGGAGCAGGCUUUGUCCUGUGACUGCGUACCUUUUGUAUAAUGGGUCAGCGACUUAUAUUCAGUGGCAAGGUUAACCAUCUAGGGGAGCCGUAGGGAAACCGAGUCUUAACUGGGCGUUCAGUCUCUGGAUAUAGACCCGAAACCAGGUGAUCUAGCCAUGGGCAGGUUGAAGGUUGAGUAACAUCAACUGGAGGACCGAACCGACUAAUGUUGAAAAAUUAG
Molecule: ribosomal RNA, 753 nt
Filed under: Vibrio parahaemolyticus
Lineage: Bacteria; Pseudomonadati; Pseudomonadota; Gammaproteobacteria; Vibrionales; Vibrionaceae
Description: bacterial LSU rRNA
Rfam family: Bacterial large subunit ribosomal RNA
Source: RNAcentral